Molecule: transfer RNA, 92 nt
Filed under: Perca fluviatilis (European perch)
Lineage: Eukaryota; Metazoa; Chordata; Actinopteri; Perciformes; Percidae
Rfam family: tRNA
About the family: Transfer RNA (tRNA) molecules are approximately 80 nucleotides in length. Their secondary structure includes four short double-helical elements and three loops (D, anti-codon, and T loops).
Source: Rfam by way of RNAcentral
GGCUCUGAGGCGCAAUGGAUAGCGCAUUGGACUUCUAGUUAGUUUCCAAAGAAGUGAUUCAAAGGUUGUGGGUUCGAGUCCCACCAGAGUUG